GCGGUGUGUGAGGAACUCGUGAUCCCGCGCUGUACAGGAUGACGUCCUGUCUAGGAACAACAACAAAAACCGCCCCUCAGAGUGUGAAUAGUGGAGGAGAGUGCGGCAGCUGCUCAUGACUACUAGACAGGGAACUUUCCCGUGUCUGGAGGAGGUACUUGCUGACUCUAAGCACCAACACGAUAAAUGUAGAUCCGUUUGGGGCCCUUGGCUCUCAUUCAUGUCAUCACCAGAGUUUGGCACCUUGCACUUGAGACCCUGACGUUACUGGUGUGGACUUUCUGUCUGCUGCUCUACUGAUGCUGUCACCGAUCUGGAGAAGGACCGUGCUGACCCGGACUACGAGACUAGGUGAAACCCCUCCCUAGACAGAAGGUGAUUAGUGGCUGAGCAGGCACUUCCAUGUCGAGAUGUCACCAGGAAGUGGUAACCAAGCAGUACUGGGCACUAAUUGCAGCAGAUGUGCGGUGAUUAUCCCGAUCAACAUAGCCGAAAAUGAAUACUGCUCUCAAGAUCAUAGAGGAAGGAGAAAAACUGUUUAUGAGACUCUUGUGCCAAGCUGUGGAAGGACAAAAUGAAGAAUUGUGUCUGUAAUAAGCAAAUGUUCAAUUGGAAAUUGAAGCAUCCUUCUGCUCACUAAGAUCAAUAGGAAGAAUACAGUAGGAUUAGCUUCAUAUUAUGCAGAAACCUGACCCAGUUUUGCCAGAUUUCUCUUCUACUGAAUAUAAAAAUAACCACUUGUUUAACAAAUGUGGUAAAGACUAUAGCAUCUCAUUGUUAUUCAGCGUUCAUCAGAGCCCCAAGAAUGAUGGUUGACUCGAGCUGGAACAUAAAGCGAGCUAAAACUCUUUUAAUGUCUAAUACUGGCUUCAUCUUUUAACUUGCAAAAAGAACUAAAUAUAUAGUGGAAGCUGCAGGAAAAUGCCAUUCAUACUGCAAUUGUGUGUUAUAUUGUAUAUGUUUGUGUAAGAGAAAGCAAAGAAAUUGUGACAAGGAAACUCUUCUGAAGGCUGCUCACAAUGGCUUGUUCUGUUUAACGGAAUAAAAGGGAGCAUCUGGGAAUCGCAGCCUCAAAGGACGAGCACCAAGCAAGGCCUGUCUUCCCCAACACCUCUCCUCUAUCAUUAGUGAGCAUGAUAUGGCUACUUGGAGGCAGGAAGCCCACCAGAUUAUCUCCUCUCAUUUAGGAGAUGAACGUGUAAUUACGGAUCCGCCAUCGCUCCGCUGCCACCUCACCAGCCCUGUACUGUCUCUACCUAGUCCGCGCUGCCCGCACAACUGUGCCAGCUGCUGCCAACUCCAUCCAGAGUAAUAUUAUUAUAUCAGCAGCUGCCACUGUCCAGAUAAAUGCCCCCUCCAUCACAGCCCGCGAUACCACAGGCUGCCCCCAUAGCAGGUCACAUGUCAAUUACAAAGAUGUCCCAUUAUUGUCUACAAACGAUGCCCCAUGCUGUGCCCAGAUACACUGGCAACAACUACAACUUUCCUGCGAUCUGAUGUGCCCAGCACUGCAUGGAACCGGACAAAUAGGAAACGGCAGAAAAAACGUCCAAAAAACCGGAUCUAACGACAUAAAACAUCU
This is a long non-coding RNA of Hyla sarda, 1582 nucleotides long. RefSeq lists it as uncharacterized. NCBI's taxonomy places the organism in Eukaryota, Metazoa, Chordata, Amphibia, Anura, Hylidae. The record is from RefSeq and is a predicted model, not a curated record. The transcript is spliced from 8 exons.